AUCAUUUGAAAGUCCCUUCAAGUUGAAAAAGAACAUGCAUUCUUAUUUUGGCCACACCUGGCGUACUAGUAAAUCAACUGUGAUCAGAUUGGUUAAAAAAAUAGAGGCUGCGUGUGAUUUCAGUUCCGGUUCAAUGCAUUUGUAAUGAGGGGGCGCACUUCUGUGCAGUGUGCACAUUAGUCGUCGUUGCCAGAAGGCUGCACCCGACAGCCAAGGGAUUUACAUGUGGCAUAGCAAGUCUCUGAAGCAGUGUCUCACACUCGAGUCCUGACCGAGGGCCUUGAAACUGGCAUGCCUGUUCAAAACAUCUCCAGGACAACAAGGUUAUUUUGUGUUGACGUGUAUUGAAUUCUUAAGGGCAAAGAAGAUGAAGGAGAAUGCGUGCAGUGGGCUGAAUGGAGAAUUCGUGAAUCAAAGGCAACACCAUCAAAUGCAUUAUGAAAUUAAGCACUAUCAGGUUGUCAAGGCUGUAGCUCAGCGGGUACAUGGUCCUGGAUACCAGAUUUUUUUGAAAACUAUUUAUAUAUGGAAUCUGAAUGCACUCUCCAAUAAAUGCUGCAGUUCUUUGUUGAUUUAGGUACAAAAAAAGGCAAAGCCCAUUUCACAUAUCCCAUCGAUUAAAUGCACCUCUGCUGUUUGGGUCUAAAUUUUGCCAUCACUAUUUCUUGUUACGGAGAUGAAGACAACUACUUGCCUCUUUCAUGCAUCUGCUUUGUCCACAUCUAUGUUUGGGGAAUGUAAUUUGAAGCCAUUCCGUAAGUGUUUGCUAUGCCUCAUUGUUUAUUUUACGGCAUACUACAUUGGCACACUUGGGAUUUAUAUUUUUACUUUAUUCAAUUUCUUCCCUUCUACAAUGCGGCAGCAUAAUCAUUACUACAGAUUUUUUUUCCCCACUUUAUUCCACUUUAUUCUGUUUUUUGGGCAUUUCCUACCAGUGCAAAGAUGUUUAAAUUAGUCACUGAAAGCAGUGUUCUGAAAUGAUAUCAAAAAUAGUUGUGGCCUGAAUAUGUAAGCAUGGCCUUCACAUAUUUUUUGUAAAGCUGUACAUGUCUUUAAAGAUAGAAAGACACAUUUACAUUUCCCAGUGCAAAUGGUUUUUUGAAUAAGUUUCUGAAAGUAGUGCUUUGAGAUGUUUGAGAUAACAAACAUUUAAUGUGUUGGAAAUAUUUUUGGUCGCUGUGUCAUAAUUCAGCUUAAUAUUUAAUACAUUGUUUCUUAUGGCAUAUUAACAAGAAAAUGUCAAACUGGGACUGAAUGUUGAAAAGGUUGCUGACCCCUGGUUACUGUAUUCCCUCUCCCGCUCCAUUACAUGUAUGUUCGUUUAUUUCAAGUUAACUUGUUUUUCUGUGUUAUUACAACCUUGCAACACAUUUCCAUUAAUGUAGUUUGUUUAUUCCUUAACAGUUUUCAAAAAACACAAUCAAAUGGGUACUAAAACCUUAA
Molecule: long non-coding RNA, 1443 nt
Organism: Gadus macrocephalus (Pacific cod)
Lineage: Eukaryota; Metazoa; Chordata; Actinopteri; Gadiformes; Gadidae
Exons: 3
Source: RefSeq, a predicted model, not a curated record